AGAUUUCUUCCUGUUUUUGCAAUCUCUUAGAGGAUUGCCUGUCAUAUGCCUCACAUUCUGAUUUAAUGCUAAUUCAAUAAUAAAAUUCCCUUUUUUUUUCUCCUUCCUUUGUGAAUAGAUAUUCUGGACUGGCAGAUUUUAUUUUAAAUUAUAUUUCCCAAACAUUUCUGGCAAUAAGAAUGGGAUAUCUGGAAAUUUCAGAAUCAGCAGACAACUGAAGUUCUGUGGUCACACAGUAAGAUCAGUCUACAUUCUUGUUUACUUUGGCUUAUAAAAGAGUCCAGAGGGGUGGCCAAGAUGGCAGAUUAGAAGCAGCUAGUGUGUGCCACUCUCAGGGAGAGGAACUGAAGAGGCAAGUAAAUACAGCACCUUCAACAGAAACAUUCAGAUACACGCACUGGAAAUAAUCAAGGAAACAACUCGACCCACGGGGAACAGAGAAAAGC
This 446-nucleotide long non-coding RNA is filed under the name Aotus nancymaae (Ma's night monkey). RNAcentral's name for it is "lncRNA (ENSANAG00000039130.1)". Lineage: Eukaryota; Metazoa; Chordata; Mammalia; Primates; Aotidae. The record is from RNAcentral.